Molecule: ribosomal RNA, 586 nt
Filed under: Aspergillus niger
Lineage: Eukaryota; Fungi; Ascomycota; Eurotiomycetes; Eurotiales; Aspergillaceae
Description: eukaryotic LSU rRNA
Rfam family: 5.8S ribosomal RNA (bases 202-355)
Source: RNAcentral
ACGGCACUUAGUAGCAGGGAGACCUUAGUGGUAGAUUACACCCGAGGACUUUUUUUUUGCGCGAGGAAAGAUCAAGUGGGCCCACGACUUAUCGGCCGCCGGGGGGGCGCCUCUGCCCCCCGGGCCCGUGCCCGCCGGAGACCCCAACACGAACACUGUCUGAAAGCGUGCAGUCUGAGUUGAUUGAAUGCAAUCAGUUAAAACUUUCAACAAUGGAUCUCUUGGUUCCGGCAUCGAUGAAGAACGCAGCGAAAUGCGAUAACUAAUGUGAAUUGCAGAAUUCAGUGAAUCAUCGAGUCUUUGAACGCACAUUGCGCCCCCUGGUAUUCCGGGGGGCAUGCCUGUCCGAGCGUCAUUGCUGCCCUCAAGCCCGGCUUGUGUGUUGGGUCGCCGUCCCCCUCUCCGGGGGGACGGGCCCGAAAGGCAGCGGCGGCACCGCGUCCGAUCCUCGAGCGUAUGGGGCUUUGUCACAUGCUCUGUAGGAUUGGCCGGCGCCUGCCGACGUUUUCCAACCAUUCUUUCCAGGUUGACCUCGGAUCAGGUAGGGAUACCCGCUGAACUUAAGCAUAUCAAUAAGNCGGAGGAA